Molecule: long non-coding RNA, 3489 nt
Filed under: Equus caballus (horse)
Lineage: Eukaryota; Metazoa; Chordata; Mammalia; Perissodactyla; Equidae
Description: lncRNA (ENSECAG00000041174.2)
Source: RNAcentral
UCUGCCUCUCACAGCCAAGAUUCUGGAAGGAGAUGUCUGCUCUCCUCUUCCUCCUCAACCACUCAUUUAUUCAGCAAGUAUUUAUUUUACACCAGCCUGUGCUGGGGAUUCCAUGGUGAACAAGACCCCCUGGCCCUGCUCUCAUGAGGCUUAUAAUCGGGUAGGGAAGACAGACAUAAAUUAUUAACACAUGCUUGUGUAAUGGCAGUUGCGAUAAGUGCUGCCACAGCCCAACAGCACAGGCCAGUUCUGUUCUGCACUGGUGCACCUGCAAACUUAUUCGUCCUUCGAGGCUCAGCUCACAUGCCACCUCAUCUGUACCACCUUCUCAACACUGCACCGGUACGACAGGGUGGCCCUCUAGGCUCACAACAGCCUUGAGUAUAACUGCUCCCCACAGAGGUUGCAACCUGAGGGUAGAGACCAGAUCACACUCAUCUCAGAGCCUCCAGAGCCCAUUGUGUCAGAGGUGCUCAGUAACGAGUGCCAGUCCCUACCAAGUCUGAGCCAAAGUGGAUGCACGUCUCCAGGCCCUGCCAAUCCGCUGCUUUCUUUUUUCCUUUUUUUUUUAAAUAGCUUUUUGCUUCUUUUUAUCAUUAUAAAAAUAACUUGGGUUAGAAACAACAAUGCGAAUUACUUAUCAGUACUGAAUUGUACCCUUACAAAUGGUUAAGAUGGUAAAUUAUAUGUUAUGUGUGUUUUACCAUAAUUUAAAAAAAUAAUAAUGCAAAGAAUAAGUCCAUAAAAGGAGAAAAAGGGAGAAAGGUCCAUAUUAUCUAGAAAUAAAGGACAGAGGACUUGAUUUAGGCAGAAUUAGAUUAAAAAAUAAGAUGUUUGGGGGCCGCCCAUGGCUGAGUGGUUAAGUUCGAGCUCUCUGCUUCGGCGGCCCAGGGUUUUGCUGGUUCAAAUCCUGGGCGUGGACAUGGUACCGCUCAUCAAGCCAUGCUGAGGCGGCGUCCCCCGUGCCCCAACUAGAAGGACCCACAACUAAAGAUACACGACUAUGUACCAGGGGGCUUUGGGGAGAAAAAGGAAAAAUAAAAUCUUUAAAUAAUAAUGAUAAUAAGAUGGUUGUAUUAGGGAAAUGCAACUCAAAACCACAAUGAGGGAGCUGGCCCAGUGGCGCAGUGGUUAAGUGCACACAUUCCGCUUCAGUGGCCCAGGGUUCUGCGGUUCGGAUCCCGGGUAUGGAAAUGGCACUGCUUGGCAAGCCACACUGUGGUAGGCAUCCCACAUAUAAAAUAGAGGAAGAUGGGCACGGUUGUUAGCUCAGGGCCAGUCUUCCUCAGCAAAAAAGAGGAGGAUUGGCAGCAGAUGUUAGCUCAGGGCUAAUCUUCCUCAAAAACAAAACAAAAAAAACACAAUGAGAUACUACUUCACACCCUUUAGGAUGGCUAUCAUAAAAAAAAUAGAAAAUAGCAAGUGUUGAUGAGGAUGUGGAGAAAUUAGAACUCUUGUGCUUUGCUGGGGGGAAUGUAAAAUGGUGUUGUUGCUGUGUGAAAUGGUGCGGUGUUUCCUCAAAAAAUUAAACAUAGAAUUACCAUAUGAUGCAGCAAUUCCAAUUCUGGGUAUACACCCAAAAGAACUGAAAACAAGGACUCAAAGAGAUAUUUGUACACCCAUGUUCAUAUCAGCGUUAUUCACAAUAGCCAAAAGGUAACAAUCCAAGUAAAUGUUCAUUGACAGAUGAAUGAAUAAACAAAAUGUAAUAUAUACACACAAUGGAAUAUUAUUCAGCUUAAAAUGGAAUGAAAUUCUGCCACAUGUUGCAACACGGAUGAACUUUGAAAACAUUAUGCUAAGAAGUGAAACAAGGCACACACGAAAGGACAAAUAUUGUAUGAUUCCACUUAUAUAAGGUACCUGAAGUCGUCAAAUUCAUAGAGACAGAAAGCAGACUGGUGAUUGCCAGUGGCUGGCAGUAGAGGGGAAUGGGGCAUUAGCUUAAUGAGUUUGGAGUUUAUGUUGAAGAGGAUGAAAAAAUUCUGGAGCUGGGUGAUAGUGAUAGCUGCACAACAGUGUGACUGUACUUAAUGCCAUUGAAUUGCACACUUAAAAAUGGUAAAAAUGGUAAAUUUUAUAUUAUGUAUAUUUUACCAUGAUAAAAAAAAGUAAUUUGGGUGUAUUAUGGACAUUUUGGAAACUAUUGGUAAGCACAAGGGGAAAAAAUUUAAAUCAUUCAUAAUCUUACCAGCUAGAGAGAGCUGCUGUUAAACUUUGUGUGUAUCUUUCAUUCCCUUCUUGUUCUCUCUCUUAAAAAAAAAAAAAAUAUAUAUAUAUAUAUAUGUAUACAUCUAUCUUUAGAGACCACAUUGGACCCAUUGGAAGUCUCCUCCUCACAUCUCUCUCUCUCCCCUGUUCUCAGUGAUGCUGCUUCCUCCCUUUGAGCCACUCAGAAUAAGUCUGUCACUGUUCUGGACAUCAUUUCUUUGAACAAUUUCUCACACCUAAUUUCAACUCCCCUGCACCUCCAGGCUUUCACUUCUCUCAAAAUGCCCAUUUCUUCCGUGUGUCUGAAAACAUGGUAGCACAGCAGUCCCAGUAAUGAGUCAGAAGGGGCUGGAGAAAAGAAUGAGUGCCUCUCCCAGCUUCUCAGAGGCUGAACAUCUUAGAAAUGUCCAUGUGAGCGUGUCGGCUCUCUUGGAUAAUACAGUCAUUGUUGUGGUUCCUGCGGAGGUUACUGACAACUAAACCCCUAAGUCUGUGGGUCCAGGCUGUGCUUUGACCAGGUUCCCGUGCCCUGCCUGGGGGCCCUUGCUUCUUGGACCUGGUGCUGGACCUCGCAUUAUCCCUGUUGAUUCUAGCUCCUAGAUCUGGCUUCUACAGCCUGUCAGGAGCCUGUGACCUCAUGGCCCAAAGAGCAGAUCCACCCUGUCCUCUUUGAGGGAGCUUGGAAAGGAGUGAGGGUUCCAUGGCCUCUGAUCCCUGCUGGGCCUUGGGGAGGAGCAGCUGCUUCCUCUCUUCCCUUCAUGAGAAGUGGGCCUCUCCUUCAUCUCAGGCACCAAUCUGCCAUGCACAGCGCUUUGCCACGUGGUCCAGGAGUCAGAGCAUAGGCAGCUUCAUCAGCAGCUGGAGGUAAAGCAAGAAGCCACAGCCACUCAGGUGACUGAAGUCCAUUUCUGUGCCCACUGAUUAGAGAUGAAUGGUGCCUUCAUUUGCCUCCAGAUCCAGCUACAGACACAAGACCGCUCUCUCUCGGUUUUGAGGUCUCCACAGAAGGGUUUAUUCAAGGUUUCAGCCAGGACCUUUACAGCCCAGUCCUGAGAGGAUUAGGUUUUUAUUGCAACUUUCCAUUAAUGAUUGAUCUAAAACUGAUACUAGAAACACUGAAGAACAAAUUUGCCCUAGAGAUUAGGAAAGGUCUACAUCUGCCAGGCUUGGGGACCUGCCCACCUGCCCCCUCCAAGGUCAAACCAGGGCAAGGGUACAUUGGAAGACCCACCUCACACACAGUCACACACACACACACACACACACACAGAGGCUCGC